This 506-nucleotide ribosomal RNA is filed under the name uncultured soil bacterium. RNAcentral describes it as "bacterial SSU rRNA". It matches the Rfam family "Bacterial small subunit ribosomal RNA", at positions 8 to 494 of the family's 1533-position model. The record is from RNAcentral.
AGAGUUUGAUCCUGGCUCAGAACGAACGCUGGCGGCGUGGAUAAGACAUGCAAGUCGAGCGGGAUUUCUUUUGGUAGCAAUACCGAAGGAAGUCUAGCGGCGAACGGGUGCUUAACACGUGGGCAACCUGCCAAGAAGUGGGGGAUAGCUCGCCGAAAGGCGAAUUAAUACCGCAUGUGAUUAGAGAGGACAUCCUUUCGAAAUUAAAGUCGGGGCAACCUGACGCUUUUUGUGGGGCCCGCGGCCUAUCAGCUAGUUGGUGGGGUAACGGCCCACCAAGGCUUUGACGGGUAGCUGGUCUGAGAGGACGACCAGCCACACUGGGACUGAGACACGGCCCAGACACCUACGGGUGGCAGCAGUCGAGAAUUUUUGACAAUGGGGGAAACCCUGAUCGAGCGACGCCGCGUGGAGGAUGAAGGUCUUCGGAUUGUAAACUCCUGUCAUUGGGGAACAAGGUGCAUACGUUAACUGCGUGUGCAUUGAUAUACCCGAAGAGAAGGACA